GGAAGUUGUAAAAAAAGAAGAAAAAAAAAAAAUUGGUCCCCGAGAGAGAGAACAAACAUUCUAAGCCACUCUGACUCUUACAAACAGAAUCUCUGAUAACCUCACAGUGCCUCGGCUACAGGGUGGCAACAAAGGUAGCCGCCAACCAAUGGCUUUGACAGAAUGAGGCACCCCUUGGCAUGCCUGCUAGAGGCAAACAGAUCUCUCUAGCACUCAUCCAGGGACUGGGGAGGUCUGGGGAGGCUGGUUUGCUCCACUGCGCCCCCUCCCUUUUUUCUGCCUCGCAUUCAUGUCUCUCUCAUUUCAUUCCUGUGGAGCCAACUCUGAAGCUGUUGAAAGAGGAUUGACUAUUGCUCCAUCAGCCACCUGGCAGCCCGCAACCACGACCAGCUUUACUUAAACCCAUGAGUGGCUUCAAAAGGAAAAGCAGGGGAAAAGGGAAAGAAAAAAAAGAGAAAAAAGAGGUAGAUGGCAUGCAGAUGGUAGUCCACAGAAACCUCUCUUAUCAAAGUCACCCACAACCUACGUGAUGUUCUUCAUCCAGCCAGGCCUUGGAAACUGACUGCAGCACCGAGAUACAGAAGAACAGAACAGGUUCUGAAAUGAGCAACAACAGGGGGAUGGGGAAAAACUACCCUCCUCCAUUGCCUGCAGCCCAGAACAGCAGGUGUGCCUAUUUUCAGAGGAAAUAAUCAGAAAUGAAGGAAUCUGAGAGAUCAUCAACUGGCCAGCAUCCCCAUUUUACAGAUAUAGAAAUUGUGGCCCAUUUCCCAGCUUGCACUUUCUAAGCCCUCAACGGAUUGGAUGGUGUUACUCAGUCUACUGAUUCAAAUGCUAAUCUCUUCCAGAAAUAAUGUUUUACCAGCUAUCUGGGCAUCCCAGUCAAGUUGACACAUAAAAAGAUCCAUCACAACAUCCUUCCCUCCUACCUCACCUAAUGUAAACUUCAAAAUUAAAAAAUACUAUAUCAUAAAAUAAAGCUUUGGAAAUGACAGA
Molecule: long non-coding RNA, 996 nt
Filed under: Equus caballus (horse)
Lineage: Eukaryota; Metazoa; Chordata; Mammalia; Perissodactyla; Equidae
Description: lncRNA (ENSECAG00000058281.1)
Source: RNAcentral